AACACCUGGAGAUGAAGACAAGGAAGAUGUCAGUUUCUACAUUAAGUAACAAACUAGAAAGAAAACAUAACUUUUUUUCUCCUUCACAAAAACAUACCAAAUGGGAACUGCGCAACCAUCUUUGGAGAUGUGAGAGGCUCUGAAAUGCCAAAUCGGUUUUCAGCACGGACCCGGAAGAUGUACUCCUGGCCUGGGAUCAGCUUUCCAACCCUGCAGGAAGUUUUUGUGACUGAAGCUAGAGCUGUGACCCAGUCACCUCGGCUUACAUCACACUUCUCCACUAUAUAAUUGGUGAUGUUACUGCCUCCGUCCUCCAGAGGGAUGUGCCAUGACAGGGAGCAAGCAUCAGCGUCUAUAUCAGAAAUGUCAAACGGAGGCUGAGGGGGGCCGGGGGCAUCUACAUGAACCAAGAGGAAAGAAAUAGAAUAGACGCCUUGAUGGCUCCUCUGGCAGUUCUUGAUGACCAUGGAUGAGCUAAUGGCUGUGGUCUCAAUGGUGGCUUCUUGAGUUACAUCUUUGAGAGGGGUGAGGAAUUUGAGCCGGAUUCCUAUCAAGAAAAAAAAGAAAGAA
This 570-nucleotide non-coding RNA is filed under the name Pan troglodytes (chimpanzee). The record is from RNAcentral. Lineage: Eukaryota; Metazoa; Chordata; Mammalia; Primates; Hominidae.